Molecule: microRNA, 22 nt
Filed under: Oreochromis niloticus (Nile tilapia)
Lineage: Eukaryota; Metazoa; Chordata; Actinopteri; Cichliformes; Cichlidae
Description: oni-miR-10788
Source: miRBase by way of RNAcentral
AUUGCGACGUAGACCCGUAGCA